This 387-nucleotide unclassified non-coding RNA is filed under the name soil metagenome. RNAcentral describes it as "partial contains 5.8S ribosomal RNA, internal transcribed spacer 2, and large subunit ribosomal RNA". The stretch from base 1 to 120 matches the Rfam family "5.8S ribosomal RNA", at positions 35 to 154 of the family's 154-position model. The record is from RNAcentral.
GAUGAAGAACGUAGCGAAAUGCGAUAAGUAAUGUGAAUUGCAGAAUUCAGUGAAUCAUCGAAUCUUUGAACGCACCUUGCACCCUUUGGUAUUCCGAAGGGUAUGCUCGUUUGAGUGUCAUUGUACUCUCACACUCUCCGAUCCUAUGGAUUCGGGGAGCGGUGGACUUGGGUGUUGCUGCCUUUCCCUGUGGCUCACCUCAAAUGCGUCAGUGCACCUCUUGGUUGGACAUAGUACGGCGUGAUAAGUGUCUUCGCCGGCACCUCGCAAGAGGGUGGCCGAUCGGGAGCUCUGCGCUUUCAAACCGUCUUCGGACAAUUUCUGACAUCUUGACCUCAAAUCGAGUAGGACUACCCGCUGAACUUAAGCAUAUCAAUAAGCGGAGGA